Molecule: ribosomal RNA, 492 nt
Filed under: uncultured bacterium
Lineage: Bacteria
Description: bacterial SSU rRNA
Rfam family: Bacterial small subunit ribosomal RNA
Source: RNAcentral
AUGAACGCUAGCUACAGGCUUAACNCAUGCAAGUCGAGGGGAAACGAUAUUGGAAGCUUGCUUCCGAUAGGCGUCGACCGGCGCACGGGUGAGUAACGCGUAUCCAACCUGCCCAUCACGUUGGGGAUAACCUUGCGAAAGUAAGACUAAUACCCAAUGACGUCUCUAGAAGACAUCUGAAAGAGAUUAAAGAUUUAUCGGUGAUGGAUGGGGAUGCGUCUGAUUAGCUUGUUGGCGGGGUAACGGCCCACCAAGGCGACGAUCAGUAGGGGUUCUGAGAGGAAGGUCCCCCACAUUGGAACUGAGACACGGUCCAAACUCCUACGGGAGGCAGCAGUGAGGAAUAUUGGUCAAUGGACGAGAGUCUGAACCAGCCAAGUAGCGUGCAGGAAGACGGCCCUAUGGGUUGUAAACUGCUUUUAUAAGGGAAUAAAGUGAGUCUCGUGAGACUUUUUGCAUGUACCUUAUGAAUAAGGACCGGCUAAUUCCGUG